Long non-coding RNA from Plodia interpunctella (Indianmeal moth), 381 nucleotides. RefSeq lists it as uncharacterized. The transcript is spliced from 3 exons. The record is from RefSeq and is a predicted model, not a curated record. NCBI's taxonomy places the organism in Eukaryota, Metazoa, Arthropoda, Insecta, Lepidoptera, Pyralidae.
UACCACAGAUGUGCUCCAGAAUCUUAGCGAACGAGUCGACAACGACACGAGUCACAUUCAAAACAAUUACAUCUGUCGCCGCUGACACUAUCUCCAGUCUCACUAAUAGAUAUAACACCCACUCUUAAGUUACUAAGUUGCAAGCGGAAGCGAUUUAGCUAACGGAAUACACAGGUGCGGUACCCUCGUCAAGCGGACAGUCCGAGUCGUGGCGUCAUCAAGUAAGCCCGCUGAUUUUGAUAUUUCGGAGAUUAUGAAGUUGAAUGUUGGCCCAUCACAAGAUUUUAGGUAUCAUAGCGACACGGUGCUUAGAACCGAGAUGUUGACAAUAAGAUGUUAUGAUCGGACGCACGAAUAAAAGCGGGCGAUUCUAAUUAUAAU